GACGAACGCUGGCGGCGUGCUUAACACAUGCAAGUCGAACGGAAAGGCCCUGCUUGCAGGGUACUCGAGUGGCGAACGGGUGAGUAACACGUGGGUGAUCUGCCCUUCACUUCGGGAUAAGCCUGGGAAACUGGGUCUAAUACCGGAUAGGAGCCAUUUUUAGUGUGAUGGUUGGAAAGUUUUUUCGGUGUAGGAUGAGCUCGCGGCCUAUCAGCUUGUUGGUGGGGUAAUGGCCUACCAAGGCGGCGACGGGUAGCCGGCCUGAGAGGGUGGACGGCCACAUUGGGACUGAGAUACGGCCCAGACGCCUACGGGAGGCAGCAGUGGGGAAUAUUGCACAAUGGGCGCAAGCCUGAUGCAGCGACGCCGCGUGGGGGAUGACGGCCUUCGGGUUGGAAACUCCUUUCGCUAGGGACGAAGCUUUUUGUGACGGUACCUAGAUAAGAAGCACCGGCUAACUACGUG
RNAcentral lists this ribosomal RNA (465 nucleotides) under uncultured bacterium. RNAcentral's name for it is "partial 16S ribosomal RNA". It matches the Rfam family "Bacterial small subunit ribosomal RNA", at positions 28 to 507 of the family's 1533-position model. The record is from RNAcentral.